This 255-nucleotide ribosomal RNA is filed under the name uncultured bacterium. Its description in RNAcentral is "partial 16S ribosomal RNA". It matches the Rfam family "Bacterial small subunit ribosomal RNA", at positions 78 to 334 of the family's 1533-position model. The record is from RNAcentral.
CUUUCUUUUGCUGGCGGCCGGCGCACGGGUGAGUAACACGUAUCCAACCUGCCCUUUACUCGGGGAUAGCCUUUCGAAAGAAAGAUUAAUACCCGAUAGCAUAAUGAUUCCGCAUGGUUUCAUUAUUAAAGGAUUCCGGUAAAGGAUGGGGAUGCGUUCCAUUAGGUUGUUGGUGAGGUAACGGCUCACCAAGCCUUCGAUGGAUAGGGGUUCUGAGAGGAAGGUCCCCCACAUUGGAACUGAGACACGGUCCAA